AACGAACGCUGGCGGCAGGCUUAACACAUGCAAGUCGAACGCCCGCAAGGGGAGUGGCAGACGGGUGAGUAACGCGUGGGAAUCUACCCAGUUCUACGGAACAACAGUUGGAACGACUGCUAAUACCGUAUACGCCCUAAGGGGAAAGAUUUAUCGGAAUUGGAUGAGCCCGCGUUGGAUUAGCUAGUUGGUGGGGUAAUGGCCUACCAAGGCGACGAUCCAUAGCUGGUCUGAGAGGAUGAUCAGCCACACUGGGACUGAGACACGGCCCAGACUCCUACGGGAGGCAGCAGUGGGGAAUAUUGGACAAUGGGCGCAAGCCUGAUCCAGCCAUGCCGCGUGAGUGAUGAAGGCCUUAGGGUUGUAAAGCUCUUUCAGUAGGGAAGAUAAUGACGGUACCUACAGAAGAAGCCCCGGGCUAACUUUCGUGCCAGCAGCCGCGGUAAUACGAAGGGGGCUAGCGUUGUUCGGAUUACUGGGCGU
Molecule: ribosomal RNA, 483 nt
Filed under: uncultured bacterium
Lineage: Bacteria
Description: bacterial SSU rRNA
Rfam family: Bacterial small subunit ribosomal RNA
Source: RNAcentral